RNAcentral lists this ribosomal RNA (465 nucleotides) under Vreelandella stevensii. Its description in RNAcentral is "partial 16S ribosomal RNA". It matches the Rfam family "Bacterial small subunit ribosomal RNA", at positions 338 to 795 of the family's 1533-position model. Lineage: Bacteria; Pseudomonadati; Pseudomonadota; Gammaproteobacteria; Oceanospirillales; Halomonadaceae. The record is from RNAcentral.
CCUAGGGGCGGCAGCAGUGGGGAAUAUUGGACAAUGGGCGAAAGCCUGAUCCAGCCAUGCCGCGUGUGUGAAGAAGGCCUUCGGGUUGUAAAGCACUUUCAGUGGGGAAGAAAGCCUUGGGGCUAAUACCCUCGAGGAAGGACAUCACCCACAGAAGAAGCACCGGCUAACUCCGUGCCAGCAGCCGCGGUAAUACGGAGGGUGCGAGCGUUAAUCGGAAUUACUGGGCGUAAAGCGCGCGUAGGCGGUCUGAUAAGCCGGUUGUGAAAGCCCCGGGCUCAACCUGGGAACGGCAUCCGGAACUGUCAGGCUAGAGUGCAGGAGAGGAAGGUAGAAUUCCCGGUGUAGCGGUGAAAUGCGUAGAGAUCGGGAGGAAUACCAGUGGCGAAGGCGGCCUUCUGGACUGACACUGACGCUGAGGUGCGAAAGCGUGGGUAGCAAACAGGAUUAGAUACCCCUGUAGUC